AGGAAGCCAUACAGACCCGAAGACUCAUCGUCUGUGGAGGAGGGGGAGUCAUGUUAGGAUAACAUGAAAGCUGCAGCAGCGGGACGGGCGUGGACUCGCAGUCCUCGAUGGUCUGGAAGGUGAGGUCGGCCAGCGGGAUGAACCACUUACAGUCGUACUGCUGCCCUUUGCUGUGGAAGAAGAAGGUUUUAUAAAGGGCUGCGCAGUUCGGGCAGACCCUGACCCAGACUCACCCGGCGGCCUGUUUCUUCAGCUUGGUGCAAAGCAGCAGGUCGGUGAACAGGAAGACGUGACGCAGUUUCCUGGAUCCCUCGACCAGCUCCACCAUGAAGCGAUCCCUCAGCAGUUGCCGGUGCUGCAACAGGAAGGGAGGAAUCACGUCAGGCCGCUCGCAGUAUUUAACUCCCAGAUACACACCCAGAAAAUAAUACACCAGUAAUGCAUCGUAUACUGGAAUAUACAUGCUAUGUAUCGUAGUAGAAUGUGCACAUUUUCACUUCCACUUCAUUGGAUGUUCUUUUAAUUAAUUGUGUUCAACUUUCUCAUUUUUUCUUUCAUUUAUUAUUUUAUUCCACUUUCUUACUUUUGUGGUUUAUAUAAAU
Eleginops maclovinus (Patagonian blennie) is the source of this 602-nucleotide long non-coding RNA. RefSeq lists it as uncharacterized. The transcript is spliced from 3 exons. The record is from RefSeq and is a predicted model, not a curated record. NCBI's taxonomy places the organism in Eukaryota, Metazoa, Chordata, Actinopteri, Perciformes, Eleginopidae.